UACGUAGGAGGCGAGCGUUGUCCGGAUUUACUGGGCGUAAAGAACGCGUAGGCGGUUCGUUAAGUCUGGCGUAAAAUCUCCUGGCUCAACUGGGAGGGCGCACCGGAGACUGGCGGACUGGAGGGCAUCAGAGGAAAGCGGAACUCCCGGUGUAGUGGUGAAAUGCGUAGAGAUCGGGAAGAACACCUGUGGCGAAGGCGGCUUUCUGGGGUGUACCUGACGCUGAGGCGUGAAAGCGUGGGGAGCGAACCGGAUUAGAUACCCGGGUAGUCCACGCCCUAAACGAUGGACACUAGGCGCGGGGGGUAUCGACCCCCUCCGUGCCGUAGCUAACGCGCUAAGUGUCCCGCCUGGGGAGUACGGCCGCAAGGCUAAA
This 376-nucleotide ribosomal RNA is filed under the name uncultured bacterium. Its description in RNAcentral is "bacterial SSU rRNA". It matches the Rfam family "Bacterial small subunit ribosomal RNA", at positions 524 to 898 of the family's 1533-position model. The record is from RNAcentral.